This 465-nucleotide ribosomal RNA is filed under the name Vreelandella stevensii. RNAcentral's name for it is "partial 16S ribosomal RNA". It matches the Rfam family "Bacterial small subunit ribosomal RNA", at positions 338 to 795 of the family's 1533-position model. The record is from RNAcentral. Lineage: Bacteria; Pseudomonadati; Pseudomonadota; Gammaproteobacteria; Oceanospirillales; Halomonadaceae.
CCUACGGGUGGCUGCAGUGGGGAAUAUUGGACAAUGGGGGGAACCCUGAUCCAGCCAUGCCGCGUGUGUGAAGAAGGCCCUCGGGUUGUAAAGCACUUUCAGUGAGGAAGAACGCCUGGUGGUUAAUACCCAUCAGGAAAGACAUCACUCACAGAAGAAGCACCGGCUAACUCCGUGCCAGCAGCCACGGUAAUACGGAGGGUGCGAGCGUUAAUCGGAAUUACUGGGCGUAAAGCGCGCGUAGGUGGCUUGAUAAGCCGGUUGUGAAAGCCCCGGGCUCAACCUGGGAACGGCAUCCGGAACUGUCAAGCUAGAGUGCAGGAGAGGAAGGUAGAAUUCCCGGUGUAGCGGUGAAAUGCGUAGAGAUCGGGAGGAAUACCAGUGGCGAAGGCGGCCUUCUGGACUGACACUGACACUGAGGUGCGAAAGCGUGGGUAGCAAACAGGAUUAGAUACCCUUGUAGUC